CUUCUACGGUCUCCAGUCGGUAAGCUCUCGGCCCAUAGGUGUCCGCUACCUUGUAGGGUCCUUCCCAGUUCGGAGCUAACUUUUCCUGGUCUAGAGGCUUCGAGACUUCUGCCUUUCUUAGGUCUAGGUCCCCAGGCCUGAAAAGUUUCGGUUUGACCUUGGCAUUGUAGUAUCGGGCUACUCUCUGUUGAUAAGAAGCCAUACGAAGUUGAGCCUCGCA
RNAcentral lists this long non-coding RNA (220 nucleotides) under Elaeis guineensis (African oil palm). RNAcentral describes it as "long non-coding RNA (EGUI_LNC039325)". Lineage: Eukaryota; Viridiplantae; Streptophyta; Magnoliopsida; Arecales; Arecaceae. The record is from RNAcentral.